RNAcentral lists this ribosomal RNA (399 nucleotides) under Triticum aestivum (bread wheat). Its description in RNAcentral is "partial small subunit ribosomal RNA". Lineage: Eukaryota; Viridiplantae; Streptophyta; Magnoliopsida; Poales; Poaceae. The record is from RNAcentral.
AUGGAGGAGCCCCCUAGCAGCAAGCGCCGCAACUACGACGACUAUCAUAAGGAGGGUGGCCCAACUCACUUCUGCAAGGUCAUCCUUGCACCGAAGCUUGAGUGCAUCCCCUUGCCCCUGGACUUCACCAAGCACUUCGCCGCGGUGCCGAUGGAGUUCAAGCUGAGGAACAACACCGGUUGCUCCUGGAGGGUAACGGUGAAGCUGAUGAACGACAAGGUGACCCUGGAUCAGGGUUGGGCCACCUUCCCCGUAGUUCAUUAGAUCAAGAUCGGCUACAUGGUGACGUUCAAUCUCCUGACUCCCGACACCCUCAAAGUCAUCAUCUUCGACGACGAUGGAAUUGAAGUGGUCAACAAGUGCGGAAGGCACGACGAAGCCUUCGCCGCCAGGGACUAG